This is a long non-coding RNA of Patella vulgata (common limpet), 1273 nucleotides long. RefSeq lists it as uncharacterized. The record is from RefSeq and is a predicted model, not a curated record. NCBI's taxonomy places the organism in Eukaryota, Metazoa, Mollusca, Gastropoda, Patellidae. The transcript has 4 exons.
CCAUUUUAACGAUCGAGAGCAAGGAAAUAAAUCACAGUAGCUGAACGGAAAGAAAACUGUCAGUCAAUUUGUGUGGUUGUUAUAAAUUAAAGCUAUUGGUAUUGGCAACUUUCCUAUUCGAUCCUCGUAUUACCAGGCCGUCAUUUCUUUACAACAGUCCAGGAUACGCUCUGGUGUUCACACUGCAAGGAUGUAGAUGGCGUAAAGAGAUUUGUAGUAUUAAAGGAUAUUUUUUAAAUUAGAAAAGUAAACCUAAAGAUAUGCCUAAAGAAAGUAAUUUACCCAACCAAUACACCGAUGACUAUGGCUACAAUCAAGAAGGCGACACAGACAAACUAACCGGCGGUUACGACCAAUCUACAGCUAGGGUACCUACCACAGAUUACGGGUGUUUUAAGCAAACAUCCGACAAUGCUGAUACUUCACUUUUAAAAAAACAACCCAUUUGUGUUCCUGCAAGAAAUAACGUUCGCAGCUUGUCGCUGCCAGUAACAGGUGCCAGACCAAUGUAUGGUAACGUUGGUCGUAAUACAAAUGUUGUUGUAGAGGAACCAGUAUCAAGCAGUGUAGUUUUUAUAAGACCACCAAAUUAUUUGGGAUUGUCUAUACUUACAUUAUGUUGUUUCUGGCCCUUUGGUCUGGUAGCCAUUAUCUAUGCUAUCGGGUCGACCAAUGCUUCAGAUAAUAUGAAUAUCUCUAAAGCCAGAUCAAAUGGUCAGAUGGCUAAAAACUUUUGUAUUGCCGCAAUAGUGUGUGGUGUCAUAUUGUAUACCGUUAUAGGGAUUAUCAUCAGUCAUUAUGCACAAGUGCAGUACGACAGAUAGAUCCAACAAUCUGCUCACACGACUUCCUGAUCACGGAACCAGAAUUAUUUGUCAUUUCAUUGUAAAUAUUUGCUAUGAACCCAAUUCCCGCUGAUGAUAAAUGGUGUAAAGUUAGUAUUGGAAAUUUUUCUACAGAAUACUGAAUUGUGUAUCUUGAAUGUAACGGGGAACGAUUAAAUACUCCAUUGGUGCAGUGGAUUGCCCAGGAGCUAAAUCCGAUGAUCUGUACGACAUGUUAGUUGUGAUUAAAAGACUAAUUGUAGAAUUAAUUUUACUGGAAUAAAACAUGAUGCUCAUCCUACAAACGAGAUCUCACACUAAUUUAAUAGGGAAGUGACAUUGUUAUGCUAAAUAUUUAUUUUUACUAGUCACUGAGCGCUAAAUAAACAUAUCGGGUGUUAAUAAGCGAGAUUUCGUCAGCUCUGGCGAUAUUUACCAUUGUUCGUGAU